GUUUCUCUCGGUUUGUGGGCUCAUCUAAAGCGCAAAUACAGACGUCCGAUUAUAUACAUAUAUAUACAUGUAUGUAUAUAUGUGUGUGUGUGUCCCAGCUGAGUAACAGGAAGAGAAGAGUCUAAUGGUUCAACAGAGGAACAAUUUCAGCCACUUGGACUCAGCUGAGCCACUACAGAGGAAACAAUGACUUCAACACAGGACCAACACGGAGCGAGAAGUCAGCGCUCUCAGGAGGCCGACAAACCUCA
Long non-coding RNA from Oreochromis niloticus (Nile tilapia), 251 nucleotides. RefSeq lists it as uncharacterized. The record is from RefSeq and is a predicted model, not a curated record. The transcript has 3 exons. Lineage: Eukaryota; Metazoa; Chordata; Actinopteri; Cichliformes; Cichlidae.